GACGAACGCUGGCGGCGUGCUUAACACAUGCAAGUCGAACGGAAAGGCCUGCUUUCCCUUGUGGAUUGCGGGUACUCGAGUGGCGAACGGGUGAGUAACACGUGAGUGAUCUGCCCCCAACUUGGGUAUAAGCCUGGGAAACUGGGUCUAAUUCCCGAUAGGACUGCAGGGUGGUGCCUGUGGUGGAAAACGAUUUUCUAGUGGUUGGGGAUGAGCUCGCGGCCUAUCAGCUUGUUGGUGGGGUAAUGGCCUACCAAGGCGGCGACGGAUAGCCGGCCUGAGAGGGUGGACGGCCACAUUGGGACUGAGAUACGGCCCAGACUCCUACGGGAGGCAGCAGUGGGGAAUAUUGCACAAUGGGCGGAAGCCUGAUGCAGCGACGCCGCGUGGGGGAUGACGGCCUUCGGGUUGUAAACUCCUUUCGACCGCGAGGAAGCCACCUGGUUGGAAGGGUGGUGACGGUAGUGGUAGAAGAAGCACCGGCUAACUACGUG
RNAcentral lists this ribosomal RNA (494 nucleotides) under uncultured bacterium. Its description in RNAcentral is "partial 16S ribosomal RNA". It matches the Rfam family "Bacterial small subunit ribosomal RNA", at positions 28 to 507 of the family's 1533-position model. The record is from RNAcentral.